AGAGCCUUUCCCAAGCUGGAGGAGAAGGUGGGACAGCUGGAGAGGGCCUGCCGUGUGAAGGGCAGGCUGAAAGCCGGCUCCGAGAUGAACCUCCUGGCCAUCGGGAAGUCACUGAAGGGCCACAUCGCUGCCACCGCCAGCUCGGCCGGCUCCGAGGGAUCAUUCCUCAGGCCGCUGCUGAAACGCACCACGUCGGCGAGGAGCGCCCUGAAACCGCCCCCGUCGCCCGUCAUCGUGGAGAAGGGGAACGUGAGGCAGAAGAGGAAGGAGUGGGAGAUGAAGUCUGCGAUGUGACCGCCCGCCUGCAGACGGACCUGCUGGAGCAGGAGCCUCCCGGCUGCGCGUGGAUCGUGCAGGACCGGCCUGGAUUCAGCCUGGAAUCUGAUUUUUAUCCGUCCAGUAUCAACGCUACCACUACGCACAUCUAUUUUUUAUAUAUAGAUAUAUAGAUAUAUCCAUAUCAAAC
Neopelma chrysocephalum (saffron-crested tyrant-manakin) is the source of this 466-nucleotide long non-coding RNA. RefSeq lists it as uncharacterized. The record is from RefSeq and is a predicted model, not a curated record. The transcript is spliced from 3 exons. Lineage: Eukaryota; Metazoa; Chordata; Aves; Passeriformes; Pipridae.